CAGUCGCCGCGGUAAUACGAAGGGUGCAAGCGUUACUCGGAAUUACUGGGCGUAAAGCGUGCGUAGGUGGUGGUUUAAGUCCGUUGUGAAAGCCCUGGGCUCAACCUGGGAAUUGCAGUGGAUACUGGGUCACUAGAGUGUGGUAGAGGAUAGUGGAAUUUCCGGUGUAGCAGUGAAAUGCGUAGAGAUCGGAAGGAACAUCUGUGGCGAAGGCGACUAUCUGGGCCAACACUGACACUGAGGCACGAAGGCCAGGGGAGCAAACGGGAUUAGAUACCCCGGUAGUCCCUGUCUCUUAUAC
This 301-nucleotide ribosomal RNA is filed under the name uncultured bacterium. RNAcentral describes it as "partial 16S ribosomal RNA". It matches the Rfam family "Bacterial small subunit ribosomal RNA", at positions 509 to 807 of the family's 1533-position model. The record is from RNAcentral.